Molecule: ribosomal RNA, 497 nt
Filed under: uncultured bacterium
Lineage: Bacteria
Description: partial 16S ribosomal RNA
Rfam family: Bacterial small subunit ribosomal RNA
Source: RNAcentral
GAUGAACGCUGGCGGCGUGCCUAAUACAUGCAAGUCGAGCGAACAGACGAGGAGCUUGCUCCUCUGACGUUAGCGGCGGACGGGUGAGUAACACGUGUAUAACCUACCUAUAAGACUGGGAUAACUUCGUGAAACCGUAGCUAAUACCGGAUAAUAUAUUGAACCGCAUGGUUCAAUAGUGAAAGACGGUUUUGCUGUCACUUAUAGAUGGAUCCGCGCCGCAUUAGCUAGUUGGUAAGGUAACGGCUUACCAAGGCAACGAUGCGUAGCGGACCUGAGAGGGUGAGCGGAAACACUGGAACGGAGACACGGUCAAGAGUCCUACGGGAGGCAGCAGAAGGGAAGAUGACGCAAGGGGCGAAAGCAUGACGGAGCAACGCCGAGUGAGUGAUGAAGGUCUUAGGAUCGUAAAACUCUGUUAUUAGGGAAGAAAAAAUGUGUAAGUAAAUAUGCACGUAUUGACGGUAACUAAUCAGAAAGCCACGGCUAACUACGUG